RNAcentral lists this transfer RNA (86 nucleotides) under Vibrio cholerae. RNAcentral's name for it is "tRNA-Leu". It matches the Rfam family "tRNA". Rfam says of the family: Transfer RNA (tRNA) molecules are approximately 80 nucleotides in length. Their secondary structure includes four short double-helical elements and three loops (D, anti-codon, and T loops). Lineage: Bacteria; Pseudomonadati; Pseudomonadota; Gammaproteobacteria; Vibrionales; Vibrionaceae. The record is from RNAcentral.
GCGGUAAGGGGCGAAAUUGGUAGACGCACCAGAUUUAGGUUCUGGCGCCGCGAGGCGUAAGAGUUCAAGUCUCUUCUUCCGCACCA